This 25-nucleotide small nuclear RNA is filed under the name Arabidopsis thaliana (thale cress). RNAcentral describes it as "snRNA_03187". Lineage: Eukaryota; Viridiplantae; Streptophyta; Magnoliopsida; Brassicales; Brassicaceae. The record is from RNAcentral.
GUACCUAAUCGGAUUUAGCAUCCAA